UUAUUCUAAGGCGCUUGAGAGAACUCAGGAGAGUGAACUCGGCAAAUUGACACCGUAACUUCGGAAGAAGGUGUGCCUUUAGUAGGUGAAGUCGUACAGACGGAGCCCAAUGAGGCCGCAGAGAAUCGGUGGCUGCGACUGUUUAUUAAAAACACAGCACUCUGCAAAGACGAAAGUCGACGUAUAGGGUGUGACGCCUGCCCGGUGCUGGAAGAUUAAAUGAUGGGGUGCAAGCUCUUGAUUGAAGUCCCAGUAAACGGCGGCCGUAACAAUAACGGUCCUAAGGUAGCGAAAUUCCUUGUCGGGUAAGUUCCGACCUGCACGAAUGGCGUAACGAUGGCCACACUGUCUCCUCCAGAGACUCAGCGAAGUUGAAAUGUUUGUGAUGAUGCAAUCUCCCCGCGGAAAGACGGAAAGACCCCAUGAACCUUUACUGCAGCUUUACAUUGGACUUUGAAUAGAUCUGUGUAGGAUAGGUGGGAGGCUUUGAAGCCGGGACGCUAGUCUUGGUGGAGCCAACGUUGAAAUACCACCCUGGUGUGUUUGAGGUUCUAACCUUGACCCAUUAUCUGGGUUGGGGACAGUGUAUGGUAGGCAGUUUGACUGGGGCGGUCUCCUCCCAAAGUGUAACGGAGGAGUUCGAAGGUACGCUAGGCACGGUCGGAAAUCGUGCUGAUAGUGCAUAGGCAUAAGCGUGCUUGACUGCGAGACUGACAAGUCGAGCAGGUACGAAAGUAGGACUAAGUGAUCCGGUGGUUCUGUAUGGAAGGGCCAUCGCUCAACGGAUAAAAGGUACUCUGGGGAUAACAGGCUGAUACCGCCCAAGAGUUCAUAUCGACGGCGGUGUUAGGCACCUCGAUGUCGGCUCAUCUCAUCCUGGGGCUGUAGCCGGUCCCAAGGGUAUGGCUGUUCGCCAUUUAAAGAGGUACGUGAGCUGGGUUUAAAACGUCGUGAGACAGUUUGGUCCCUAUCUUCCGUGGGCGCUGCAAGAUUGAGAGAGCCUGCUCCUAGUACGAGAGGACCGGAGUGGACGCACCUCUGGUGUAUCGGUUGUCACGCCAGUGGCAUUGCCGAGUAGCUAAGUGCGGAAGAGAUAACCGCUGAAAGCAUCUAAGCGGGAAACUCGUCUCGAGAUGAGUCUUGCCGGGGCCUCGAGCCCCCUGAAGAGUCGUUCGAGACCAGGACGUUGAUAGGCCGGAUGUGGAAGCUGGGUAACCAGUUGAGCUAACCGGUACUAAUUGCUCGUGCGGCUUGACCUG
RNAcentral lists this ribosomal RNA (1259 nucleotides) under metagenome. RNAcentral's name for it is "bacterial LSU rRNA". It matches the Rfam family "Bacterial large subunit ribosomal RNA", at positions 1676 to 2925 of the family's 2925-position model. The record is from RNAcentral.